GAUGAACGCUGGCGGCGUGCCUAAUACAUGCAAGUCGAGCGAACAGACGAGGAGCUUGCUCCUUUGACGUUAGCGGCGGACGGGUGAGUAACACGUAGAUCACCUCCCUAUAAGACUGGGAUAACUUCGGGACACCGGAUCUAAUACCGGAUAAUAUUUCGAACCGCAUGGUUCGAUAGUGAAAGAUGGCUUUGCUAGCACUUCUAGAUGGACCUGCGCCGUAUUAGCUAGUUGGUAAGGUAACGGCUUACCAAGGCAACGAUACGUAGCCGACCUGAGAGGGUGAUCGGCCACACUGGAACUGAGACACGGUCCAGACUCCUACGGGAGGCAGCAGUAGGGAAUCUUCCGCAAUGGGCGAAAGCCUGACGGAGCAACGCCGCGUGAGUGAUGAAGGUCUUCGGAUCGUAAAACUCUGUUAUUAGGGAAGAACAAACGUGUAAGUAACUGUGCACGUCUUGACGGUAACGAAUCAGAAAGCAACGGCUAACUACGUG
RNAcentral lists this ribosomal RNA (497 nucleotides) under uncultured bacterium. Its description in RNAcentral is "partial 16S ribosomal RNA". It matches the Rfam family "Bacterial small subunit ribosomal RNA", at positions 28 to 507 of the family's 1533-position model. The record is from RNAcentral.